UGGGGAAUAUUGCACAAUGGGCGGAAGCCUGAUGCAGCAACGCCGCGUGAGGGAUGACGGCCUUCGGGUUGUAAACCUCUUUCAGCGGGGACGAAGCGCAAGUGACGGUACCCGCAGAAGAAGCGCCGGCCAACUACGUGCCAGCAGCCGCGGUAACACGUAGGGCGCGAGCGUUGUCCGGAAUUAUUGGGCGUAAAGGGCUCGUAGGCGGUUUGUUGCGUCGAAAGUGAAAAUCCGGGGCUUAACUCCGGACUUGCUUUCGAUACGGGCAGACUAGAGGUAGGCAGGGGAGAGUGGAAUUCCUGGUGUAGCGGUGGAAUGCGCAGAUAUCAGGAGGAACACCGGUGGCGAAGGCGGCUCUCUGGGCCUUACCUGACGCUGAGGAGCGAAAGCGUGGGGAGCGAACA
RNAcentral lists this ribosomal RNA (407 nucleotides) under uncultured Actinopolymorpha sp. RNAcentral describes it as "bacterial SSU rRNA". It matches the Rfam family "Bacterial small subunit ribosomal RNA", at positions 355 to 774 of the family's 1533-position model. Lineage: Bacteria; Bacillati; Actinomycetota; Actinomycetes; Propionibacteriales; Actinopolymorphaceae. The record is from RNAcentral.